AAAAAUUGAGGAAGCAGAAUUAUUUUACACACUUUGGUGGCUGAUUACGGAAGAGAGAGGCUGGUCGAUCAAGAACUUCGGUGGCCGCAAAGUGGGAAAUUAGACGGAACAAAAAGGUUGUUGCUUAUUAGAAUAAAACGAGAAAGACGGAAUCACAUAGCUACAAAGAUACAUGUAGAAAACGACUAGAGCAUAAUUGGAAUUAAUCACGUUCCAUCAAUUUAUUGGUGAUGUCCUUCCUCUUUUAUGUCUUUGAUUUCAACAUUAUGUUAGGCUAAUUUCUCUUAUGUAUUGGAGGAAGAUGAAGCCCUUUAUUAUUUAUUUUUUAUUCGAGACACGUGGUUUAGUUAAAUUUCUGCAGUAUUUUAUUAAUCUUGUAUGUUUAAUUUUAUUAUUUGAUUGCCUGAUCACCAAUUAAAUAUAUAGUGGAUUGUUGUGGUGUUGGGAGGCUCUCAAUAGGUUUAAAACAUUGCUUGAUUAACAUGUGUGCAAUAAAUUUUAGGAAUAAAAUUUAUUACGUGUGCAAUCCGUGAGAUAAUUGUGAAAUUGAAUGCGUUUUAUUCAUUUGAAUUCGAACUACGAAUAGACUCGGGUCGUGAAUAUGAUAAAUUUAAUUUGUCUUGAAAAAGAAAAUUAAUUACAAUAGAAUUAUCAAUUGUCGAGCAUGCAAGAACAUAACUAGCUAAGUUGUUGAGAAUUUGAAUAGAUAAUAAUAUGUGGAUUUGUAAUCCAAUAUACUCUUCCCAUAUAUUUGUUAAAUUCGCAUUUUACUCGCUUUCAUAGAUUAAGUUAGAUUAAUUAAAAUCACAAAACACUUUUAUUUGUUUACUUUGAAUCUAAUUAAACACUCGUAUGCUCAAUUAAAUUUUAUUCUUCGUGGGGCGAUACUCUUAACUCAUCAAAUCUAUUACUUGUCAACGAUUUCGUACGCUUGCGAGUUUUGCACAAACAAAUUUUUGGCGGUGUUGCCGAAGAAUAAUUUAUUUGAUUUGUGUUUAUUAGUUAAUUUUAGAUUUGAAGUAUAUUCUUUUCCUUUUCUUUUUUUUUCUUUACUUUAGUUGUUUUAGGCUAUUUAUUGAACUAUCUAAUUCUCUUGCUUCUCUUUUCAGGGAAUCAUAGUUUAUGCAAAAUUUUGACAAGAUCGAGCUUCUUCCAAUAGAUCCCGAAAUUGAAAGAACUUUUAGACAGCUAAGAAGAGAACAGAGACAAUCGAGAGAAAUGACAGAAAAUCAACAUCCGAAUCAAGUUCAAAAUCAUUUACCAUUAUCCUAGCCAGAUCAACCAAGGGCAGCAGCAAAUCAAGAAGAAGUUUUAGUGAAGGAUUACAUAAAUUCUGUGCCAGCUCCUAUGCAACUGGCUAUCAUAUACCUUUUGGACAGGUCAAUUUCCAUAUUAGACUUGACGUUAUCAACUUAUUCCAAAAUCAUCAAGAUAUCAGGUUCUUUAGGAAAUCAAUCGAAAAUCCUCGUGAACAUAUUAAGGCCUUCUUGAUGCUCUGCAAUUUGAUCAGCCACGAAGGAAUGUCUGUGGAUGCUUUUCAACUGCGCCUAUUUCCUCACACGUUAAAGGAGGGUGCGCGAGAAUGAUUAAAUUCUCUAAUUACGGGGAAUAUUGUUUUAUGGAACGACACGGUGCAAAAGUUCACGUUGAAUUUUUUUCGCCGUUUCGAGUCCAUCAUACUAGAAAUGAAAUCCAUACUUUUAAGCAAAAUGACCUUGAGAGCUAUCCAAAAGCGUGGAAAAGAUUCAAAGAUUAUUUCAGGAAGUGCCCCACCUUGAAUAUCACUAAAGAAUCAAAGAUCUGCAUAUUCUAUUCCGGCUUGAGACCUGAAUUUUGCAACAUCGUCGAUGCCUCCACAGGAAGGUCGAUAUUGGAUAUUUCGUUGAAUAAUGCCUUGGACCUUUUUGAGCAAAUUGUAGAAAAUCAAUCGAUGUGACCGAGCAACAGGGAAGUCCAGAGGAAAACAACUGGUACAUAUAAUGUGGAUGCAGUGAUAGCUAUGACAACACAUAUGGAGGCAAUAACUAGAAAGCCUGACACUUUGACCCAUUAUGUGAAUAUGGUACAAACUUUAGCUCCGAAGUGCGUAGGUUAUGGGGUAGACAAACAAAGAGAAAAGAAUAUUGUUUGAUAUUUAAAAAAACUCAGC
RNAcentral lists this long non-coding RNA (2149 nucleotides) under Olea europaea subsp. europaea. Lineage: Eukaryota; Viridiplantae; Streptophyta; Magnoliopsida; Lamiales; Oleaceae. The record is from RNAcentral.